AGCGAACGCUGGCGGCAGGCUUAACACAUGCAAGUCGAGCGGGCAUCCUUGUGGUGUCAGCGGCAGACGGGUGAGUAACGCGUGGGAACGUGCCCUUCGGUUCGGAAUAACUCAGGGAAACUUGAGCUAAUACCGGAUACGUGCGAGAGCAGAAAGGUUUAUCUGCCGAAGGAUCGGCCCGCGUCUGAUUAGCUAGUUGGUGAGGUUAUGGCUCACCAAGGCGACGAUCAGUAGCUGGUCUGAGAGGAUGAUCAGCCACACUGGGACUGAGACACGGCCCAGCCCCCUGCGGGAGGCAGCCGUGGGGAUUUGGGGCAGGGGGGGGAACCCUUGACAACCCCGUGCCGCGGGAAGGUUGACGCCGUUAGGGUUGAAAGACUCUCUUCUCGGGGACGAAAAGGCAGCUGCGGGAGAAAUAGGCACGGGCUACCUUCGUC
This 437-nucleotide ribosomal RNA is filed under the name uncultured bacterium. Its description in RNAcentral is "partial 16S ribosomal RNA". It matches the Rfam family "Bacterial small subunit ribosomal RNA", at positions 28 to 507 of the family's 1533-position model. The record is from RNAcentral.